UACGAACCGUCCAAACGUUAUUCGGAAUCACUGGGCUUAAAGGGUGCGUAGGCGGCCCGAUAAGUUGGGUGUGAAAUCCCUCGGCUCAACCGAGGAAUUGCGCUCAAAACUGUCGGGCUUGAGGAAGAUAGAGGUAAGCGGAACUUAGGGUGGAGCGGUGAAAUGCGUUGAUAUCCUAAGGAACACCGGUGGCGAAAGCGGCUUACUGGGUCUUUACUGACGCUGAGGCACGAAAGCUAGGGUAGCGAACGGG
RNAcentral lists this ribosomal RNA (253 nucleotides) under uncultured bacterium. Its description in RNAcentral is "partial 16S ribosomal RNA". It matches the Rfam family "Bacterial small subunit ribosomal RNA", at positions 524 to 776 of the family's 1533-position model. The record is from RNAcentral.